This 237-nucleotide ribosomal RNA is filed under the name Xanthomonas citri pv. citri. RNAcentral's name for it is "partial 23S ribosomal RNA". It matches the Rfam family "Bacterial large subunit ribosomal RNA", at positions 1391 to 1631 of the family's 2925-position model. Lineage: Bacteria; Pseudomonadati; Pseudomonadota; Gammaproteobacteria; Lysobacterales; Lysobacteraceae. The record is from RNAcentral.
CUAAGGCGAGGCCGAAAGGCGUAGUCGAUGGGAAACAGGUUAAUAUUCCUGUACUUGGUGUUACUGCGAAGGGGGGACGGAGAAGGCUAUGUUAGCCGGGCGACGGUUGUCCCGGUUUAAGCAUGUAGGCUGGUUAUCCAGGCAAAUCCGGAUAAUCAAGGCUGAGGUGUGAUGACGAGGCACUACGGUGCUGAAGUAACAAAUGCCCUGCUUCCAGGAAAAGCCUCUAAGCAUCAG